AUUGAACGCUGGCGGCAUGCCUUACACAUGCAAGUCAAACGGUAACGCGGGGCAACCUGGCGACGAGUGGCGAACGGGUGAGUAAAGUAUCGGAACGUGCCCAGUAGUGUGGGAUAGCCCGGCGAAAGCCGGAUUAAUACCGCAUGAGACCUGAGGGUGAAAGCGGGGGAUCGCAAGACCUCGUGCUAUUGGAGCGGCCGAUAUCAGAUUAGGUAGUUGGUGGGGUAAAGGCCUACCAAGCCGACGAUCUGUAGCUGGUCUGAGAGGACGACCAGCCACACUGGGACUGAGAGCCGGCCCAGGCUCCUACGGGAGGCAGCAGUGGGGAAUUUUGGACAAUGGGCGAAAGCCUGAUUCAGCCAUGCCGCGUGCGGGAAGAAGGCCUUCGGGUUGUAAACCGCUUUUGUCGGGGAAGAAAUCUUCUGGGUUAAUACCCUGGGAGGAUGACGGUACCCGAAGAAUAAGCACCGGCUAACUACGUGCCAGCCGCCGCCGUAA
RNAcentral lists this ribosomal RNA (498 nucleotides) under uncultured bacterium. Its description in RNAcentral is "partial 16S ribosomal RNA". It matches the Rfam family "Bacterial small subunit ribosomal RNA", at positions 29 to 523 of the family's 1533-position model. The record is from RNAcentral.